CCCCGGGCUUUACCCGGGGAAGGGCCAUUGGAAAACUGUCCACCUUGAAUCCAGAAGAGGAAAGGGGAAUUCCCAGCGUAGCGGUGAAAUGCGUAGAAAUUUGGAGGAACACCAACGGGGAAGGGCGGCUUACUGGUUCUGUAAUUGACGUGAAGGCUGGAAAGCGUGGUUAGCAAACAGGAAUAGAUACCCUGGUAGUCCUCCCCGUAAACGAUGAGUGCUAAGUGUUAGGGGGUUUCCGCCCCUUAGUGCUGGAGUUAACGCAUUAAGCACUCCGCCUGGGGAGUACGGCCGCAAGGCUGAAACUCAAAGGAAUUGACGGGGACCCGCACAAGCGGUGGAGCAUGUGGUUUAAUUUGAAGCAACGCGAAGAACCUUACCAGCUCUUGACAUCAUCUGACCACCCUAGAGAUAGGGCUUUCCCUUCGGGGACAGAUAGACAGGUGGUGCAUGGUUGUCGUCAGCUCGUGUCGUGAGAUGUUGGGUUAAGUCCCAUAACGAGCGCAACCCUUAUUGUUAGUUGCCAGCAUUCAGUUGGGCACUCUAGCGAGACUGCCGGUGAUAAACCGGAGGAAGGUGGGGAUGACGUCAAAUCAUCAUGCCCCUUAUGAGCUGGGCUACACACGUGCUACAAUGGACGGUACAACGAGUUGCGACCCCGCAAGGGUGAGCGAAUCUUAAUAAGCCGUUCUCAGUUCGGAUUGUUCUCUGCAACUCGAGAGCAUGAAGCCGGAAUCGCUAGUAAUCGCGGAUCAGAAUGCCGCGGUGAAUACGUUCCCGGGUCUUGCACACACCGCCCGUCA
RNAcentral lists this ribosomal RNA (803 nucleotides) under uncultured bacterium. RNAcentral's name for it is "bacterial SSU rRNA". It matches the Rfam family "Bacterial small subunit ribosomal RNA", at positions 601 to 1399 of the family's 1533-position model. The record is from RNAcentral.